GAAUUAUCUGAAAAAUUCUGAUAAGAAUGAAGAAUAUUUAGACAAAAAAUAUCAAUAAGAUACAAUUAGGGCACAUGCAUGCAUAGAAAGUGUUACAAAAGACAUUAAAUUUUGCCUUUGUGAUAUUUUCAGAUGUUUGUCCAGGAAAUCUUGAAUUUACAAAAGUCAAUGUUGAACGUUUUGUUGUUACAUCCAGGUACUUUUGGUGUUUAUAUGGUUAACAGCUAGGCUUUGUUUAUAAUGACACAUUUCGUGCUAGAUAUCAAUGUCUCUCAUAUUAUUUGUUUAUUUUUAUGAAUUGAUCUCAGGAUAUUUAUUAUUUAGUAAUGUUCAUCAAUA
This 339-nucleotide long non-coding RNA is filed under the name Mytilus galloprovincialis (Mediterranean mussel). Lineage: Eukaryota; Metazoa; Mollusca; Bivalvia; Mytilida; Mytilidae. The record is from RNAcentral.